CGGAACGGGUGAGUAACGCGUGAGGAACCUGCCUCAAAGAGGGGGACAACAGUUGGAAACGACUGCUAAUACCGCAUAAGCCCACGGCUCGGCAUCGAGCAGAGGGAAAAGGAGUAAUCCGCUUUGAGAUGGCCUCGCGUCCGAUUAGCUAGUUGGUGAGGUAACGGCCCACCAAGGCGACGAUCGGUAGCCGGACUGAGAGGUUGAACGGCCACAUUGGGACUGAGACACGGCCCAG
This 238-nucleotide ribosomal RNA is filed under the name uncultured bacterium. RNAcentral describes it as "partial 16S ribosomal RNA". It matches the Rfam family "Bacterial small subunit ribosomal RNA", at positions 100 to 334 of the family's 1533-position model. The record is from RNAcentral.